Molecule: long non-coding RNA, 1932 nt
Filed under: Citrus x clementina
Lineage: Eukaryota; Viridiplantae; Streptophyta; Magnoliopsida; Sapindales; Rutaceae
Description: Citrus clementina (C. clementina) long non-coding RNA (CCLE_LNC002347)
Source: RNAcentral
AGGUGAUUUCUUCUCCUGCUCUGUCUUGAUUUUCUCUCUAAUUGAAAGCAUAAAGUAUUUCAAUCAAAUUCUGUACCAGGAAUACGUAAAAGUUACUAAUAUUUUAUUUCCAUCUGUUCGCAUUGAUAACUCGGCGGCAUAUGUGUUGUGCGCGGAAUGCGGAAUCAAGCGCGCCAAAUAAUUAUAGAAAAAUAAAGGACACAAGAAUUACGUGGUUCGGUAAUUAAACCUACAUCCACGGAGGCAAGAAAGAAUAAUUGUUUAUUUAACAACUAAUAGAGUACAAUAUUUGAGUAACGAAUCUCACUUCCCAGAAACCCAAAUAUACCAAGUACUCUCACACUCUGCAGGAAAUAUAAAUUCCCCAGACACACUUCUCUCACUUCUCUCAAAAGCUUAGAAACUUAUAAGCUUAACAAUUUUGGGAUUAUUUCAAAUGAACAAUUUCCCUUCUAUAUAUAGGAACCGUAGCUCACCUACCACUUCCAAUUUGGCUACAACUUGCCGAAUUGAUAAAUUGAAUUUAGAAUGGAAAAUCAAUUUGGUGAGCAACAAAAUCAACAAGUUUGAAAAAUCAAUUGGCUUCUAGAAAAACAUCACAUUUUUCCUCCAUACAAUUUCAACAAAAUCGUCCCACCAACCAUGUCUUUUGAAAUUUGCAUGCCAUUCUUUGACUUGUUGUGCGCGGAAUGCGGAAUCAAGCUCACCAAAAAUUACUGCAAAAAUAAAGGACACAAGAAUUUACGUGGUUCGGUAAUUAAACCUACAUCCACGGAGGCAAGAAAGAAUAAUUGUUUAUUUAACAAUUAAUAGAAUACAAUAUUUGAGUAACGAAUCUCACUUCCCAGAAACCCAAAUAUACCCAGUACUCUCACACUCUGCAGGAAAGAUAAAUUCCCCAGACACACUUCUCUCACUUCUCUCAAAAGCUUAGAAACUUAUAAGCUUAACAAUUUUGCGAUUAUUUCAAAUGAACAAUUUCCCUUCUAUAUAUAGGAACCGUAGCUCACCUACCACUUCCAAUUUGGCUACAACUUGCCGAAUUGAUAAAUUGAAUUUAGAAUGGAAAAUCAAUUUGGUGAGCAACAAAAUCAACAAGUUUGAAAAAUCAAUUGGCUUCUAGAAAAACAUCACAUUUUUCCUCCAUACAAUUUCAACAAAAUCGUCCCACCAACCAUGUCUUUUGAAAUUUGCAUGCCAUUCUUUGACUUUUCAACAAUUCUCCACCUCGGCGAAAAUUUUCCAAAUCUGAGCCGACUACCAACUAACCAUCCCCAAAGUGAUCCUUCAAUAAGGAUCCAGAAUGGCUGUGUCGAUUCGACUGCCUACGUACCCAAACUGUCUUGAUUUUCUCUCUAAUUGAAAGCAUAAAGUAUUUCAAUCAAAUUCUGUACCAGGAAUACGUAAAAGUUACUAAUAUUUUAUUUCCAUCUGUUCGCAUUGAUAACUCGGCGGCAUAUGUGUUGUGCGCGGAAUGCGGAAUCAAGCGCGCCAAAUAAUUAUAGAAAAAUAAAGGACACAAGAAUUACGUGGUUCGGGAAGCAGUUGGCAGCAAAUUCAUAUGGAGUGUAGACAAUGAUGAGCAAAAAGGUGAUUCUCAAUUUCUUUUUUUUUUAAAGUGAAAUUAUUUGUUAGAUUGAAGCUGAUAUUGUAAGAAGGCCAUUGAGCUAACCUAUGUCGCCACUUGCCUAGAUUGCAGGGGGUCAAGACUCAAAAGAAGCACUGAAAUUUAAAAAGCAUGCAAUAGUUCUUUUGCCAUGUAUCAAUUAAUGCAAGUUUGAAUAAAAUUAACAUAUAUCAAGACACAACUAGAAACAUCAUACUUUCGUGUAAGUUCAUUUCAGAAUAUUUCUUAGAGUUUGUAUAAAAUGAAAAGAUUUUAAAAUAUAAAUUUAAUAUUUGUUUAUUACCGUUGUUUGGUCUAAUUUCCUC